Molecule: ribosomal RNA, 253 nt
Filed under: uncultured bacterium
Lineage: Bacteria
Description: partial 16S ribosomal RNA
Rfam family: Bacterial small subunit ribosomal RNA
Source: RNAcentral
UACGGGGGGGGCAAGCGUUGUUCGGAAUUACUGGGCGUAAAGGGCUCGUAGGCGGCCAACUAAGUCGGAUGUGAAAUCCCCAGGCUUAACCUGGGAACUGCAUCCGAUACUGGAUGGCUUGAAUUCGGGAGAGGGAUGCAGAAUUCCAGGUGUAGCGGUGAAAUGCGUAGAGAUCAGCAGGAAUACCCGUGGCGAAGGCGGCCCCCUGGGCCGAACCUGACGCUGAGGCGCGAAGGCUAGGGGAGCGAACGGG